Non-coding RNA from Aegilops tauschii subsp. strangulata, 1226 nucleotides. The record is from RefSeq and is a predicted model, not a curated record. Lineage: Eukaryota; Viridiplantae; Streptophyta; Magnoliopsida; Poales; Poaceae.
AUCCGCAGCGCUCGAGCCCGGGCACGUGCCCAGGUGGCCGGACGGUGAAAUCGCCCCUGCAGACGGGGUCGGCCCCGCGGCGCCGACGCGGGGCGACGUGUACCUGGGGCGGCAGCUCACGGCCAUGGCCGCGGCGGGCGCCCGCAUGCGUGCGCCGGAGGAGGACGCCGAGAGGCGCCGCCGCCGCAAGGAGAAGCGAAGGGCCCUGGCCAAGAAGACGCCCUCCGGCAUCGCCUGCUGCUAUGGCUGCGGCCAUGUCGAGCCCGCCACCUGCGACCUGGUAAGCAGGCGCAUCCACGGGCUCAGCUCGCUGCCAUUUUCAGUGUGUUCAUCGGCUUAUCAGAGCACGGACUAACAUUUGAUGGCUGAUGUAGUGUCUGCACUAGGAAAAUUCGAUGCCAAAUUACACCUGAUGGCUGAUGUACUGUCUGCACUACGAAAUGAAAUUCUAAAGUGACGAUUUGUUGUUGUUGCUGUUGCAGCCUGCAGACCUGUUGUGUUUGCUGCUGGGUCCGAAGUGCCCUGUGGUGUUAAAUUCAGAACAGAAGUGCAUGAUCCAAUUCAUUUUGAAUAACUGUUUAUUACAUCUGCAGAAACUAGUCAUAAGGAUAUUAUUAUAGGACUUGUUAUAUAGUCUUAAUGUGGUGCUUGUACUAAGCCAUUGCUAUGUGUCCUCCAUGUCACAGUUUGCUGGUGGGCAGAAGCAUAGACAACAGGAAGAACAGAGACGCAGCAUCUUCACUUCUUUCCUUGCAGAUUCCUGUUAAGGAAGCAAAGGUUGAGGCCUGGGAUCUACUCUAGAUGCUGUCGAGUUGCGAGCAUAUUUUGGGUAAGCAGCAGCAGAAUAGCAGAUUCAGCAGAAUAGCAUAUUUUCUUGAGUUACUCGAUGAAAUUCACAGGAGAGAGAGAGAGACAGACCACGAUCAACCACAACAAUGACACUGUUCACAGAAAUCUUGGAUUCAUAAAUGGGAGAAGCACAUAAGGGAGAAGAAGAUGAUUGCAAGGAUGGAGAGGGAGCAAAUCAUUUGGAGGAUAGAAUGCCACUGUUUGGUGUUUUUAUGCAUUUUUGUUUCCUUCAACUGUGUUUGCACUAGCUGGGAAUAAGUGACUAGGCAAUAAGUGUAGAUGUAUGGAUAUGCUCUAAUGCUUCUGGUUUACUAUAAAUCUUCGAUUUGGAAUAAUGUGUAAUGCUGCUGGUUUAUUACAAAUCUGGGCUUAUUUUA